GUGCUGUAUGAAAGCAGAGAAGGCUAGAGUUCCUCUUAACAAGUAUGAAAGGGGCCCUUGGCCUGACAGCACACAUAUAGUUAAGACAUUGCCUUUGUCUUCAUGGUAUAUAGAAUUAAUUUGAAAUUUGU
Rattus norvegicus (Norway rat) is the source of this 131-nucleotide small nuclear RNA. The record is from Ensembl. NCBI's taxonomy places the organism in Eukaryota, Metazoa, Chordata, Mammalia, Rodentia, Muridae.